RNAcentral lists this transfer RNA (76 nucleotides) under Eremothecium gossypii ATCC 10895. RNAcentral's name for it is "tRNA-Phe". It matches the Rfam family "tRNA". From Rfam's summary of the family: Transfer RNA (tRNA) molecules are approximately 80 nucleotides in length. Their secondary structure includes four short double-helical elements and three loops (D, anti-codon, and T loops). The record is from RNAcentral. RNAcentral also lists the same sequence under 1 other name. Lineage: Eukaryota; Fungi; Ascomycota; Saccharomycetes; Saccharomycetales; Saccharomycetaceae.
GCGGAUUUAGCUCAGUUGGGAGAGCGCCAGACUGAAGGAAAUCUGGAGGUCCUGUGUUCGAUCCACAGAAUUCGCA